CCUGAGAACAGGGAUAUACUUUCUCUAUAUCAACUUUCAUAACUAUCACAGAUGGAACCGUAAUGCUUAGUGAAGUCUUGCAACCUUUACAUAUAGUAUGCUGCAUUAACAUCUGUUUCUAGCUCUCUUGGCAUAUGUGACAUCCUUGGAUGGCUAGGAGCAAAUCCUUACUCAUUUUUGUGUUUAUAGAACAGCAUAGUAGCAAGCAUGGAUACUCAAAGUAUAACUUGCUUCACAAAGGAGAGGCAAUAUAAAAAUAAAAAAAUGCAUCUGUUUUUGAUAAAUUGUCAAUAACGAACAUUUCACUUAAAAUAUUCUGCCUAUGAGUGACAUGAUACCAUCAACUGAUCACAGGCUAAAAAACAGGAUUCUAUAGCUUUUAUAGUUGAGAUAAUUGAAAUAGUCGUUGAUAUUUGUUAAAAAGUCAAUCUCAGAAUGUUUUGAGUUUUGUGGAGUGAAUUUCCUAUAAUUAUUUUGUUUUAUCCUUUUCCUAACACCAAGUUGUCCUUCUAACACCCCAGAAAGCAGUCACUUACAAGUAGAAAAGAGACUCAUAGAAGCAGAGAUAUUACAAAGUAAACAAGACUGACUGUGCCCUCUACUGGAUCCAGUCACUGCAGCUUCCCAGAAGUUACCUGUCUCCUGCUCCCUGGACCUCAACCUCCUGCUCAAAGGAGAAACUGUCUCAGUUUCCCACGGUAUUUAUGCAUGAGAACCCUCUCUUCAUGGCGUUCCUGGACUUUAAAUGUCAGGUGUUAGACAAAAUGACUCUAUUUUUAUUCUGACUACUGUC
RNAcentral lists this long non-coding RNA (793 nucleotides) under Callithrix jacchus (white-tufted-ear marmoset). RNAcentral's name for it is "lncRNA (ENSCJAG00000086747.1)". The record is from RNAcentral. Lineage: Eukaryota; Metazoa; Chordata; Mammalia; Primates; Cebidae.